CAGCCAUAUCACAUUGAAACACCAGUUCUUGUAAGAUCACAGAAGUUAAGCAAUGUCAAGCAUGGUCAGUAUCUGGAUGGGUAACCACUUGGGAGUACUAGGUGCUGUA
Molecule: non-coding RNA, 109 nt
Organism: Acanthosepion pharaonis
Lineage: Eukaryota; Metazoa; Mollusca; Cephalopoda; Sepiida; Sepiidae
Source: the annotation of a GenBank genome assembly